This 240-nucleotide ribosomal RNA is filed under the name uncultured bacterium. RNAcentral's name for it is "partial 16S ribosomal RNA". It matches the Rfam family "Bacterial small subunit ribosomal RNA", at positions 114 to 354 of the family's 1533-position model. The record is from RNAcentral.
CGCGUGAGGAACCUGCCUUUCAGAGGGGGACAACAGUUGGAAACGACUGCUAAUACCGCAUAAUAUAUGUUUGUCGCAUGGCAGAUAUAUCAAAGAUUUAUCGCUGAGAGAUGGCCUCGCGUCUGAUUAGCUAGUUGGUAGGGUAACGGCCUACCAAGGCGACGAUCAGUAGCCGAACUGAGAGGUUGAUCGGCCACAUUGGGACUGAGACACGGCCCAAACUCCUACGGAAGGCAGCAG